RNAcentral lists this ribosomal RNA (497 nucleotides) under uncultured bacterium. RNAcentral describes it as "partial 16S ribosomal RNA". It matches the Rfam family "Bacterial small subunit ribosomal RNA", at positions 28 to 507 of the family's 1533-position model. The record is from RNAcentral.
GAUGAACGCUGGCGGCGUGCCUAAUACAUGCAAGUCGAGCGAACAGGCGAGGAGCUUGCUCCCCUGACGUUAGCGGCGGACGGGUGAGUAACACGUGGAUAACCUACCUAUAAGACUGGGAUAACUUCGGGAAACCGGAGCUAAUACCGGAUAAUAUAUUGAACCGCAUGGUUCAAUAGUGAAAGACGGUUUUGCUGUCACUUAUAGAUGGAUCCGCGCCGCAUUAGCUAGUUGGUAAGGUAACGGCUUACCAAGGCAACGAUGCGUAGCCGACCUGAGAGGGUGAUCGGCCACACUGGAACUGAGACACGGUCCAGACUCCUACGGGAGGCAGCAGUAGGGAAUCUUCCGCAAUGGGCGAAAGCCUGACGGAGCAACGCCGCGUGAGUGAUGAAGGUCUUCGGAUCGUAAAACUCUGUUAUUUGGGAAGAACAAAUGUGUAAGUAACUAUGCACGUCUUGACGGUACCUAAUCAGAAAGCCACGGCUAACUACGUG